CCCGCCGGCCGCAGCCGGUGCUGUUUGGGGAUGUUUCCAGUCCACCCCCAACUCCAUUCACUUCAGCGCCUCCGUUCAUCCGCCCGCUGCCCGCGUGCACAUGCCACACGCUGAGUCCCAGGCCUCGGCGCUCCCCCUCCCCCACUAACCCGGGCGCCCGCCUUCCUCUCCAUGGCCGUCCCUCACUCCCCCGAGGGCUAGGGGACUUCUGAGGGUGAUUCUUGGAGGCAAGGAGCAGCAGGCAUCUCGUAGCUGCUUGCUGCCUCUCUGGGUCGCCUCCGCCGUCCCCGUGACUGGAAGACGCUCGAGCCGGCUGCGGAUCGGACCAGUCCAGUGUCCCUAACUCCACCUUCGCCCUCACCGUCCUGCCCGAGGACAAGGCGGCCCUUGGUGCUGAAGGACAGCUCCCAGCUUAGCUGCUGAGGAAGACUGAGUUUGGAGAGCGUCCUGGAGGGGGCAAGGCGGCUGCUGAGAAUAGCUGACUGAGAGUUAGAGAAGCUGCGCCGCCCGGAUGGAACCAUGUGCUUGGGCCCUCACAGAGUCACAUGGCACUAGGAAUUCGGACGUACAAACAUCCUGACGCGCCACUAACCUUGUUUGGACUCCACUGACCCUGUGGUCUGCUUGCCUUCCUCACUCCCAGUAACUCACAUUGUAAUUUUUUGUCAACCGUUGCCGGCAAGCAUUUGUUAAUGUUAAGAAUAAC
This 706-nucleotide long non-coding RNA is filed under the name Homo sapiens (human). RNAcentral describes it as "HSALNT0283360". The record is from RNAcentral. Lineage: Eukaryota; Metazoa; Chordata; Mammalia; Primates; Hominidae.